CGGGGUGAGUAACGCGUGAGGAACCUGCCUUACACAGGGGGACAACGGCUGGAAACGGCUGCUAAUACCGCAUAAGCACCCAGUUUCGCAUGAAACAGAGUGAAAAGAGUAAAUCGGUGUAAGAUGGCUCUGCGUCUGAUUAGCUAGUUGGUGGGGUAAAGGCUCACCAAGGCGACGAUCAGUAGCCGGCCUGAGAGGGCGACCGGCCACAUUGGGACUGAGACACGGCCCAGACUCCUACGGAAGGCAGCAG
This 253-nucleotide ribosomal RNA is filed under the name uncultured bacterium. Its description in RNAcentral is "partial 16S ribosomal RNA". It matches the Rfam family "Bacterial small subunit ribosomal RNA", at positions 100 to 354 of the family's 1533-position model. The record is from RNAcentral.